GAUGAACGCUGGCGGCGUGCUUAACACAUGCAAGUCGAGCGAAGCGUUUCUGCGGAAUUUUUCGGAAGGAAGCGGGAAUGACUUAGCGGCGGACGGGUGAGUAACGCGUGGGCAACCUGCCUCGUACAGGGGGAUAACAGUUAGAAAUGACUGCUAAAACCGCAUAAGCGCACAGCAGCGCAUGCUGCAGUGUGAAAAACUCCGGCGGUACGGGAUGGGCCCGCGUCUGAUUAGCUUGUUGGCGGGGUAACGGCCCACCAAGGCAGCGAUCAGUAGCCGAUCUGAGAGGAUGGCCGGCCACAUUGGGACUGAGACACGGCCCAA
Molecule: ribosomal RNA, 324 nt
Filed under: uncultured bacterium
Lineage: Bacteria
Description: bacterial SSU rRNA
Rfam family: Bacterial small subunit ribosomal RNA
Source: RNAcentral